UCCAAGUUAGAGCUCUCGACCCGUUUACCCGACCUGACGAACUGCGUAGUGAUCGACCAGAACCUCUCCAUUCGGCGACGAUAGGGCGGUGCACCGGUACCGUUCGGUUCUUCUUGACGACGCCGACGUGCCUCUUGUCACGGAUCGUCCAUGCAGGGAACGAGGAGAGAAAAUCGAGGCUCGAAAGUUUCUAACUUUCUGGCGGUUCCGCAGCAUUUUCCGGCGAUCGUUUGUUGAUGCAUGAGGUAUGAAACAUGCUCUUCUCUUCGUGCUCUACAUGUUGGUGUAAAUGGAUUUUGGAAUUGAUAGAGUUUUGUUGGAUUGGUGUUUCGGGUGUUGUCGGCUGAUGUCGAGGCUACUGUUCCGGCAGAGUGUUCCAGAGUUCUUUGAUUCAAUUUUGAUGAUAAUUCUGGUCCUAGAACGAGCAGCGAGAGGUGGGUUGCAUUGAAAUUCAGAAUUGGUGUGGUGGAGCACAAUCGGGUAGCAGAACAAAGAGUUCGAAAGUCUGUGAAGUUUGAUAGUGAAAAGUCUGGUUUUGUUCUAAUUGGAACAAGACAUAGACAUGCAAAGGGAGAGAGAUUCAGAAGCUUGCCAGAGUUGGUAACUGGGUUUGAGUAUUCCUCGAUCAAUUCUUAAUCCCAGUUGGCUGUGCACUGAUCUUUUGUAAUGCUUAUAGCAUAGGAUUUCAACUUGGAGGUUUUAAAGACGGAUUGUAUAAUUGGACGAGGGCUGUCCAAGUUCAUUUUGAGUUCCACGGUGAAGAACCGGAGUGAUGGCGAAAUGUAUAAAGGAUGCAGAACCUCGGUGGGCUAAGAACUCCAACAAUUGCAAUGGAAGAGGUAUUCAUGGGACUCCAGUUACUCGGAACAUGAAAGAUUGUGGUGUUGGCCUAGAAGAGCGAAUGGAAUCAAAGCUACAAUAUUCCAGUUUGUGGAUGCAGGUACUGUGUAUGAAGACGGGAUAGCUGGACGAUGCUGGGUGUGGCUUAGUUACAUUAUAUUUCAAAUUAUGUCAUCGACGGAGUUAGAUCCGCAUGACAGGUUUUCUUGUUUCCUUUACUCCCUCACAAUUUGUUUAUCGAGUUUGUAAUUGUUCGUAAAGUACCCCUCUUGUAGAUUUUUCGGAUGGUGAUCUUGAACCGGACUAAUAUUCGAUAGUUGUUUUGAAAUGACUUGUAUUUGUUUUCUUUAAAGGAUUUCCGAUGGUUUUAUAGUUUUCACCUAACCUAAA
This is a long non-coding RNA of Rosa chinensis, 1230 nucleotides long. RefSeq lists it as uncharacterized. NCBI's taxonomy places the organism in Eukaryota, Viridiplantae, Streptophyta, Magnoliopsida, Rosales, Rosaceae. The record is from RefSeq and is a predicted model, not a curated record. The transcript is spliced from 4 exons.